RNAcentral lists this transfer RNA (72 nucleotides) under Globodera rostochiensis. It matches the Rfam family "tRNA". From Rfam's summary of the family: Transfer RNA (tRNA) molecules are approximately 80 nucleotides in length. Their secondary structure includes four short double-helical elements and three loops (D, anti-codon, and T loops). The record is from Rfam by way of RNAcentral. Lineage: Eukaryota; Metazoa; Nematoda; Chromadorea; Rhabditida; Heteroderidae.
GGGGAUGUAACUCAGUGGUAGAGUGCUCGCUUCGCAUGCGAGAAGUCCGGGGUUCAACUCCCUGCAUCUCCA